UGCAUUUGCAACCUGAGCUCAGACGUGAUUACCCGCUGAACUUAAGCAUAUCAUUUAGCGGAGGAAAAGAAACUAACUAGGAUUCCCUUAGUAACGC
Molecule: ribosomal RNA, 97 nt
Filed under: Heterorhabditis sp. EPNKU31
Lineage: Eukaryota; Metazoa; Nematoda; Chromadorea; Rhabditida; Heterorhabditidae
Description: partial 28S ribosomal RNA
Rfam family: Eukaryotic large subunit ribosomal RNA
Source: RNAcentral